Molecule: ribosomal RNA, 1264 nt
Filed under: metagenome
Description: SSU rRNA
Rfam family: Eukaryotic small subunit ribosomal RNA
Source: RNAcentral
UAAACGGACCAUCGAGUAUCCAUUGGAGGGCAAGUCUGGUGCCAGCAGCUGCGGUAAUACCAGCUCCAAUAGCGUAUAUUAAAGUUGUUGCAGUUAAAAAGCUCGUAGUUGGACUUGUGUGCGCUGUCCGCGGGUGGCCUGCGCCCAAAAGGGCGUUUCGGUUCGGCCCCGGUGGCGCCUUGAAAUCUGCAGCUGGGAGGACGUUGGCCUUAACUGGUCGGCGACCGCACGCCGGCUGCUCGGUUACUGUGAGAAAAUUAGAGUGUUCAAGGCAGGCAUUGGGUGCAAUUGAAUACAUUAGCAUGGAAUAAUAAAAUAUGGCUCCUGCCGUAUUUUGUUGGUUUUGACUGGUGGGAGUAAUGAUUGAUAGGGACGGUUGGGGGUGCUAGUAUUGAGCGGCCAGAGGUGAAAUUCAUGGAUUCGCUCAAGACUAACUUAUGCGAAAGCAUUCACCAAGGACGUCCUCUUUAAUCAAGAACGAAAGUUGGGGGAUCGAAGACGAUCAGAUACCGUCGUAGUCUCAACCAUAAACUAUGUCGACUUGGGAUUGGCGGUAGUUUUUUCAUUAAGACACUGUCGGGACCACGGGAGAAAUCAAAGUGUCUGGACUCUGGGGGAAGUAUGGUCGCAAGGCUGAAACUUGAAGGAAUUGACGGAAGGGCACCACCAGGAGUGGAGCCUGCGGCUUAAUUUGACCCAACACGGGGAAACUUACCAGGUCCAGAGAUGUAGAGGAUUGACAGAUUGAAGCUCUUUCUUGAUCACUUCGGUGGUGGUGCAUGGCCGUUCUUAGUUGGUGGAGUGAUUUGUCUGGUUAAUUCCGUUAACGAACGAGACCUCAGCCUGCUAGUGUAGUCGGCUGGAUUGCCUUUGGCGAUCCGUGAUUUCGACUUCUUAGAGGGACAAUCGACGCGCAGUCGAUGGAAGUUUGAGGCAAUAACAGGUCUGUGAUGCCCUUAGAUGUUCUGGGCCGCACGCGCGCUACACUGCUGGGCUCAGCGAGUUUUACUUGGCCGAGAGGCCCGGUUAAUCUUGUGAAAUCCCAGCGUGCUUGGGCUCGCCUCCUGCAACUGGAGGCGCCAACGAGGAAUUCCUAGUAGACGCAGGUCAUCAACCUGCAUCGAUUACGUCCCUGCCCUUUGUACACACCGCCCGUCGUUCCAUAAGAGUGAGGCAUCCGGUGAAUUCUCGGGAGAGCCUGGGCGUGGCCAGCAAUGGUCUGCUCGGGUUUGAACUUGCAUAAACUUGGUGCCUAUGAUUAGGG